This 253-nucleotide ribosomal RNA is filed under the name uncultured bacterium. RNAcentral describes it as "partial 16S ribosomal RNA". It matches the Rfam family "Bacterial small subunit ribosomal RNA", at positions 524 to 776 of the family's 1533-position model. The record is from RNAcentral.
UACGUAGGGUGCGAGCGUUAAUCGGAAUUACUGGGCGUAAAGCGUGCGCAGGCGGUUUGUUAAGUCUGAUGUGAAAGCCCCGGGCUCAACCUGGGAACUGCAUUGGAAACUGGCAAGCUCGAGUAUGGCAGAGGGGGGUGGAAUUCCGCGUGUAGCAGUGAAAUGCGUAGAGAUGCGGGGGAACACCGAUGGCGAAGGCAGCCCCCUGGGCCAAUACUGACGCUCAGGCACGAAAGCGUGGGGAGCAAACAGG